GGAGGUUGGCUUAGAAGCAGCCAUUCCUUUAAAAAGUGCGUAACAGCUUACUGGUCGAGUGUUCUUGCGCCGAAAAUUUAACGGGGCUAGAGUAUGCAACCGAAAUCACGGACCUCUAGAUUUUUCUAGGGGUGGUAGGAGAGCAUUCCAUAUGCUGUUGAAGGCAAGCGCGUGAGCCUUGCUGGAAGUAUUGGAAGUGAGAAUGUAGGCAUGAGUAACGUAAAGACAGGUGAGAACCCUGUCCGCCGAAAACCCAAGGUUUCCAGAGCAAGGAUAAUCCUCUCUGGGUUAGUCGGCCCCUAAGGCGUAGCCGAAAGGCGUAGUCGAUGGGAAAGAGAUUAAUAUUUCUCUACUUGUCUGGUUGUGCGAUGGACUGACGCAGAAGGUGAUGCCAUGCCGGGUGACGAUUGUCCCGGUCCAAGGUUCGAGACGUGCUUUUUUUAAUAGAUUAAGUUUAGUUGAGUGCCAAGUGCCAAGCAAGCGAAAGUAAGCUGAAGAUGGUUAAGUCAUGCUGACGAGAAAUAGGUUCUAAGUUUAGACCAGGCAAACCGUACCGCAAACCGACUCAGGUGGGUGAGAUGAGUAUUCUAAGGCGAUCGAGAUAACUAUAGCUAAGGAACUCGGCAAAUUAACUCCGUAACUUCGGGAUAAGGAGUGCCACAAUGGGGCUAGAGGGGCUUACUCCUCCUGCUUUGAGGUGGCUGCAGUGAAGAGAUCCAGGCGACUGUUUACCAAAAACACAGGACUCUGCAAACUCGUAAGAGAAAGUAUAGGGUCUGACACCUGCCCAGUGCCGGAAGGUUAAGAGGAGGUGUUAGCUUUUAUUAGCGAAGCACUGAAUUGAAGCCCCGGUGAACGGCGGCCGUAACUAUAACGGUCCUAAGGUAGCGAAAUUCCUUGUCGGGUAAGUUCCGACCUGCACGAAUGGCAUAAUGAUGGCGGCGCUGUCUCCAGCAGAGACUCAGUGAAAUCGAAAUCGCAGUGAAGAUGCUGUGUACCCGCGGCUAGACGGAAAGACCCCGUGAACCUUUACUACAGCUUUACAUUGAACUUUGACCUUACCUGUGUAGGAUAGGUGGGAGGCUUUGAAGCAGGCACGCCAGUGUCUGUGGAGCCAUCCUUGAAAUACCACCCUGGUAAUGUUGGGGUUCUAACUCAAGCUUAACAGAGCUGAGGACAAUGUAUGGUGGGUAGUUUGACUGGGGCGGUCUCCUCCUAAAGAGUAACGGAGGAGUACGAAGGUGCGCUCAGAACGGUCGGAAAUCGUUCGAAGAGUAUAAAGGCAAAAGCGCGCUUAACUGCGAGACCCACAAGUCGAGCAGAUACGAAAGUAGGUCUUAGUGAUCCGGUGGUUCUGUAUGGAAGGGCCAUCGCUCAACGGAUAAAAGGUACUCUGGGGAUAACAGGCUGAUACCGCCCAAGAGUUCAUAUCGACGGCGGUGUUUGGCACCUCGAUGUCGGCUCAUCUCAUCCUGGGGCUGAAGCAGGUCCCAAGGGUAUGGCUGUUCGCCAUUUAAAGAGGUACGCGAGCUGGGUUUAGAACGUCGUGAGACAGUUCGGUCCCUAUCUACCGUGGGCGUUGGAAAUUUGAGAGGAUCUGCUCCUAGUACGAGAGGACCAGAGUGGACGAACCUCUGGUGUUUCGGUUGUGACGCCAGUCGCAUUGCCGAGUAGCUAUGUUCGGAUGGGAUAACCGCUGAAAGCAUCUAAGCGGGAAGCCCACCUUAAGAUUAGAUUUCCCUAAAGAGCCGUUGUAGACUACGACGUUGAUAGGUUGGGUGUGGAAGCAUAGUGAUAUGUGUAGCUAACCAAUACUAAUUGCUCGUUUGGCU
Molecule: ribosomal RNA, 1832 nt
Rfam family: Bacterial large subunit ribosomal RNA